UAGUAAAAUGCCUGAAUAAAGGGUUAUCUUGAUAGGAUAAAAUAUGUAUAAAAAUACUUUUACUAU
RNAcentral lists this transfer RNA (66 nucleotides) under Dermacentor reticulatus. Its description in RNAcentral is "tRNA-Ile". Lineage: Eukaryota; Metazoa; Arthropoda; Arachnida; Ixodida; Ixodidae. The record is from RNAcentral.